UCUUUAUCAAGAGUGGUGGAGGGAUAAGGCCCUGUGAAACCACAGCAACCGGUCCCCUUCGCCAAGGCUGCGGCGGACGUCAGGUGCUAAUUCCUUCCUGCUUUCGGCUUUGCGCCGCGGCGGGAAAGAUGGGGA
This 135-nucleotide non-coding RNA is filed under the name Desulfuromonadales bacterium. RNAcentral's name for it is "SAM-I sequence". It matches the Rfam family "SAM riboswitch aptamer (S box leader)". From Rfam's summary of the family: The SAM riboswitch is found upstream of a number of genes which code for proteins involved in methionine or cysteine biosynthesis in Gram-positive bacteria. The SAM riboswitch acts at the level of transcription termination control. Lineage: Bacteria; Pseudomonadati; Thermodesulfobacteriota; Desulfuromonadia; Desulfuromonadales. The record is from RNAcentral.